Molecule: long non-coding RNA, 136 nt
Organism: Octopus sinensis (East Asian common octopus)
Lineage: Eukaryota; Metazoa; Mollusca; Cephalopoda; Octopoda; Octopodidae
Exons: 2
Source: RefSeq, a predicted model, not a curated record
CAGGGGGCUAAACAUAGAGGGGACAAACAAGGGGAUUAAGUCGAUUACAUCAAUCCCAGUGAUUAACUGGUACCUAUUUAAUCAACCCGGAACGGAUGAAUGGUAAAGUCAACCUCGGCGGAAUUUGAACUCAGAA